UAUCGAAGAAGAGGGUUCCGGUCGGGGU
Molecule: small RNA, 28 nt
Filed under: Bombyx mori (domestic silkworm)
Lineage: Eukaryota; Metazoa; Arthropoda; Insecta; Lepidoptera; Bombycidae
Description: piRNA piR-bmo-1507768
Source: RNAcentral